UUGUAUUUUCACUUCCAGAUUCAGAUUUUCAUUUUCUGUCAAUCAUUGAGUCCUCAUUCGAACAUUUCCGCAAACAAUAAUCAACUUCCUCAAACGCUACUCACGUUCGAAUCUUCCGCCGCCAUGGCGGCCGCCGGAGCAUGCCUCUUCUCCGCCGCGCUCUUCCGCCGGCCGGCUGGAAAACCGAGCUCCAGCCGGAUCUCGAGUACGACUCCUCGCCUCGCCGUGUCGGUGGAUCGGGUUCCGGCGUCGACGGCGGCGGCGGCGGCGGCGGAGAGCGGAGAAGGAAAUGGUGCGGUGGUGAGAGAGAAGCGUAGGGAAGAGAAGAAUGAGAAGGAGAAGGAGAAUCGACGCAUGAACGGUUGGAAGGAGUAUUUGGAGUAUUCGAAGGAGCUGAUUGAACCGGACGGUGGACCGCCGCGGUGGUUUUCGCCGUUGGAGUGCGCUUCGCGAUUGGAUAAUUCUCCUCUUCUGCUCUUUUUGCCGGUGUAAUAGACAAAAAGGAAGCACUGAGUGUGGGUAUUACGUCAUGCAUUGGAUGUCAACUAUAAUCUUAGGAAAUUUCCAGAAUAAUUGGAAAAUGUAUUUCACUGAUCCUAGACCAUUGGAACCAGAAAGAUUGAAGGCACUUCGCAACCAGUGGGCAAAGUACUAUUUGAAAGUGAAAAAUGAAACUUAGGAUGUUUAGACAAUCUUGUAAUUGUAGUUUAUAUUUACUUACUUAAUUUACAAUUCAUGUCUCAACAUUAAAUAUGUUUUAAAUUCAUAGUAAUUAGUAAAUUUCUUAUUGAAUUUUCUGGUAAAAA
RNA transcript from Glycine soja, 806 nucleotides. It is a transcript of the gene named acyltransferase-like protein At3g26840, chloroplastic, with no coding region annotated. The record is from RefSeq and is a predicted model, not a curated record. NCBI's taxonomy places the organism in Eukaryota, Viridiplantae, Streptophyta, Magnoliopsida, Fabales, Fabaceae. The transcript is spliced from 3 exons.